Tachysurus fulvidraco (yellow catfish) is the source of this 868-nucleotide long non-coding RNA. RefSeq lists it as uncharacterized. The record is from RefSeq and is a predicted model, not a curated record. The transcript has 2 exons. Lineage: Eukaryota; Metazoa; Chordata; Actinopteri; Siluriformes; Bagridae.
UGUGCAGAGCUGGGAUUGGCUCAUUAGGGAUAUAGGAUCAUGUGACUAUAAGGCUUUAUUCUGCCAGGCAAGUAGAUUCAUGCAUCAGUCAGUCAGCAGAAUUAUUCACAUCGACAUCAGGACACCAGGAGUAGAGGAAAGGACGAAGGGAGAGUUCAAAUCAAUUUAAAUCGCUUUAAGAAAGGAGAGAAAAGAACCAAUUAUGGGAAAAAGAGAAGUUGUGUGGGGGUAAAUAAGAAUGUUUGACAUGAAAAGAAAGCAGCCUGAACUCUUACCCGUAGCUGGAGUGCGUGACGCAGAAUCGUCCCCUCUAAUGCGUGGAUCCACUUCUCCCUCUCAUCAGCGUCUCGGGCUGCCAGGGCAGAACAUCCAAAACACAAUCCAUUAGAGACAGAACACACACAGAAGAAAGGAGAAGGACGCGUGAAGGUAGGACAAGGGACGUCAGUGAAUGAGGCCAACAGCAGCACGGCUUAAUAUAGCUGUAGAGGUGACAGAUGACCAAAGAUCAGCAGUGCUCUGUUUACUUUAAAGAAGAAACACGGUGAGAGAACCGAGGACUAAACCGGACUACAGACACACCCACACAACCACACGAAUCCACACCUACACACAACCUCAUCUCUCCAUGUUAAUGAUGAACACACCCACACAAACAAAACUAACCCUUUCUCAAGAACUAGCAGCUUCCUUAAAACUUGCUGGUUUUCUGAAGUAAUGCAAUAAAACAACUGAGCCCUUUCUUUGUUUGACCAGCAUAAAAAGGAAGAAAGAAAUAGUUGGAUUAUGACCUCACUUAUCAUUCAUUAUAUAGUUUGUGUCUAUUUAAGGAUUGGUUUUCAAUUUAAACUUUAUUUUUCCGCUAUGA